This 3595-nucleotide ribosomal RNA is filed under the name Candidatus Margulisiibacteriota bacterium. Its description in RNAcentral is "Candidatus Margulisbacteria bacterium (hot springs metagenome) 23S ribosomal RNA". It matches the Rfam family "Bacterial large subunit ribosomal RNA". Lineage: Bacteria; Bacillati; Candidatus Margulisiibacteriota. The record is from RNAcentral.
UGAUCAAGUUACUGCGGCACAUAGAGGAUACCUUGGCACGGCAAGUCGAUGAAGGACGCGAUUGGCUGCGAUAUGCCUCGGGGAGCUGUCAAAAUAGCUUUGAUCCGGGGAUUUCCGAAUGGGGGAACCCGAUACGGCUAAUCCCGUAUCACCCCGCACGCAAGUGUGGGGAGACAACCCGCUGAACUGAAACAUCUUAGUAAGCGGAGGAAAAGAAAGUAAAAACGAUUCCCAAAGUAGUGGCGAGCGAAAUGGGAACAGCCUAAACCCUCGAUCUUUGGUCGGGGGGGUUGCGGGACCGCGAUGUGGGAUUGGAGAACCUAGCUGAAUCGACCUGGAAAGGUCAGCCAUAGAGAGUGAUAGCCUCGUAAGCGAAAGGUUCAAAGACCCUAGCGGAAUCCCAAGUACAACGGGACACGUGGAAUCCUGUUGGAAUCUGGGAGGACCAUCUCCUAAGGCUAAAUACUCUGCCGUGACCGAUAGUGAACUAGUACCGUGAGGGAAAGGUGAAAAGAACCCAGGAAUGGGAGUGAAAUAGAACUUGAAACUGUGUGCCUACAAGCAGUCGGAGCUCGGUAGCAAUACCGGGUGACGGCAUGCCUAUUGAAGAAUGAGCCGGCGACUUACAGUUGGCAGCGAGCUUAGGGUGAAGAGCCCGAGGCGUAGCGAAAGCGAGUCUGAAUAGGGCGACUUAGUUGCCAGCUGUAGACCCGAAACCGAUAGCGAUCUAUCCUUGGGCAGGGUGAACUUCGGCUAACCCCGGAGGGAGGCCCGAACGGGUUGAUGUUGAAAAAUCAUCCGAUGACCUGAGGAUAGCAGUGAAAAGCUAAACGAGCUCGGAGAUAGCUGGUUCUCCUCGAAAUGGUUUUAGGGCCAGCCUUAGGAUUAUCCUUGCGGGGGUAGAGUACAGUUUGGACUAGGGUCCCGAAAGGGAUUCCAAAUCCUCGCUAACUCCGAAUACCGCAAGGUAACUUCCUAGGAGUGAGUCUACGAGGGAUAAGCUUCGUGGUCAAAAGGGAAACAACCCAGACCGCCAGCUAAGGUUCCUAAAGACAAGCUAAGUGGGAAAGGAAGUGGGGUUGCUUAAACAGCCAGGAGGUUGGCUUAGAAGCAGCCAUCCUUUAAAGAGUGCGUAACAGCUCACUGGUCGAGCGAUCCUGCGCCGAAAACACACGGAGCUAAGCUUGUUACCGAAGCUGCGGGUCUUCUCCCGACUUUUAGUCGGGGGGAGGCGGUAGAGGAGCGUUCCGUAGUAGGUUGAAGUCGUGUCGCGAGGCACGGUGGACGAAACGGAAGUGAGAAUGUCGGCAUAAGUAACGAAAAGGCAGGUGGAAAUCCUGCCCGCCGAAAGUCUAAGGUUUCCUGGGGAAGGCUCGUCCUCCCAGGGUAAGUCGAUAUCUAAGGUGAGGCCCCGCCCAGGGGCGUAGCCGAUGGCAAGUCCGGUUAAUAUUCCGGCACCACCUGUUCUGUUAACCAGAGGGACGCAGGAGGAUAGCCCAUAACCCUUAUUGGAUUGGGGAUCCCAAGGGCAACCGCGGGAGGUUUGGGUGAUUCCACACUGACGAGAAAAGCUCUGGGGAUUGGAGCAGGUGAUCGUACUACAAACCGACACAGGUGGACUGGCUGAGCAAGCCAAGGCGCGCGAGAGAACUCUCUCUAAGGAACUAGGCAAAAUGGUCCCGUAACUUCGGGAGAAGGGACGCCUCGACGAAAGUCGGGGCCGCAGAAACCAGGCUCCUGCGACUGUUUAACAAAAACACAGGUCUCUGCAAACCCGUAAGGGGAUGUAUAGGGGCUGAUGCCUGCCCAGUGCUGGAACGUUAAGGGGCGUCCUGAGAUCACAUCAAGGGACAAACCGAAGCGCCAGUGAACGGCGGCCGUAACUAUAACGGUCCUAAGGUAGCGAAAUUCCUUGUCGGGUAAGUUCCGACCCGCACGAAAGGCAUAACGAAAGGAGCGCUGUCUCGGAGAGAGACUCGGUGAAAUUGGGAUGUCCGUGAAGACACGGAUUUCCUGCACCAGGACAGAAAGACCCCGUGGAGCUUUACUAUACCCUAGCUUUGGAUUUUGAUGCUGCUUGCGUAGCAUAGGUGGGAGGCGUUGAAGCUCUGGUUUCGGCUGGAGCAGAGCCAACAGUGAAAUACCACCCUGGCAUCAUUAGAGUUCUAACCCUGGCCGUGAAGGCUGGGAGACAGAGUUAGGCGGGUAGUUUGACUGGGGCGGUCGCCUCCUAAAGAGUAACGGAGGCGUUCAAAGGUACCCUCAGCACGGUUGGAAAUCGUGCGUCGAGUGUAAAGGCAUAAGGGUGCUUGACUGUGAGACGUACAUGUCGAGCAGGGACGAAAGUCGGACUUAGUGAUCCGGUGGUUCUGGAUGGAAGGGCCAUCGCUCAACGGAUAAAAGUUACCCCGGGGAUAACAGGCUGAUCUCCUCCAAGAGUUCACAUCGACGAGGAGGUUUGGCACCUCGAUGUCGGCUCAUCGCAUCCUGGAGCUGGAGCAGGUUCCAAGGGUUGGGCUGUUCGCCCAUUAAAGCGGUACGUGAGCUGGGUUCAGAACGUAAGUUACAUUGCGUUCUACCACAGUAAUGUGGUAAAAUAAAAAGUCGACUCAUAUCGGUGGAACCCUACUCUUCUUCCGAACGGAAGAGAGGGCAAUACCGAGGGAAGACGGAGGUUCAGGUGAAGAAUAGUAUUCUUUCUUACAUUGCUGGUUUUCUUGACGGAGAUGGCUGCAUCAUGCUUCAACUAGUAUAUCGGCAUGAUUACCUUCUCGGAUACCAAAUUAGAUCAAGCAUCGUUUUUUACCAAAAGACAAGGUAUAGAAAGUAUCUUGAAUGGUUAAAGUCCAAAUUAAAAUUCGGUUACCUCAGAAAUCGAAAGGAUAAUAUCACCGAAUACACAAUAGUUGGCCAUGAAGAAGUAGAAGCAAUCCUAACGCUUCUUAAGCCAUAUCUCCGUUUAAAAAAAGAGCAAGCCAGGUUAGCUCUUGAAAUAAUCAAUAAACUAAAAGGGAUUAAAAGAUUAUCUCCUAAAAUUCUAUUGAAAAUGAGUAGGAAAGUUGACCGGUUUGCUAGUUUGAAUUGCUCUAAAAAGAGAACAAACACUGCAGCAAAAGUAAAAAAAUUCUUAAUAGCUAAGAACCUCUUGUCCCCGUAACGACUCUCCGAUUCAAUCGGAGGACUUUACCAUACAGGUAAGGUAAUACGUCGACCUCCCGACAAAAUGUCGGGAUGAAGGUAUAGUCUAUGCCACUGGUAACAGUGGAACAACAUGCGUGAGACAGUUCGGUCCAUAUCCGGUGCAGGCGCAAGGGAAUCUGAAGAGGAGUCCUCCCUAGUACGAGAGGACCGGGAGGAACAGACCUCUAGUGUACCAGUUGUGGGGCCUACCCGCAAACGCUGGGUAGCUAUGUCUGGUCGGGAUAAAUGCUGAAAGCAUCUAAGCAUCAAGCCCACCUCAAGACUAGAUUCCCCACCCUGAUGGCAACAUCAGGGGUAAGACCCCCUGCAGACUACAGGGUUGAUAGGCUGGAGGUGUAAAGGCGGUAACGUCUGAGCUGACCAGUACUAAUCGGUCGAGGACUUGAUCAUAAAA